RNAcentral lists this ribosomal RNA (484 nucleotides) under uncultured bacterium. RNAcentral's name for it is "partial 16S ribosomal RNA". It matches the Rfam family "Bacterial small subunit ribosomal RNA", at positions 30 to 507 of the family's 1533-position model. The record is from RNAcentral.
AUUGAACGCUAGCGGGAUGCUUUACACAUGCAAGUCGAACGGCAGCGCGGACUUCGGUCUGGCGGCGAGUGGCGAACGGGUGAGUAAUGUAUCGGAACGUGCCCAGUAGCGGGGGAUAACUACGCGAAAGCGUAGCUAAUACCGCAUACGCCCUACGGGGGAAAGCAGGGGAUCGUAAGACCUUGCACUAUUGGAGCGGCCGAUAUCGGAUUAGCUAGUUGGUGAGGUAACGGCUCACCAAGGCGACGAUCCGUAGCUGGUUUGAGAGGACGACCAGCCACACUGGGACUGAGACACGGCCCAGACUCCUACGGGAGGCAGCAGUGGGGAAUUUUGGACAAUGGGGGCAACCCUGAUCCAGCCAUCCCGCGUGUGCGAUGAAGGCCUUCGGGUUGUAAAGCACUUUUGGCAGGAAAGAAACGUCGCGGGCUAAUACCCCGUGGAACUGACGAUACCUGCAGAAUAAGCACCGUCUAACUACGUG